Molecule: long non-coding RNA, 1343 nt
Organism: Gasterosteus aculeatus aculeatus (three-spined stickleback)
Lineage: Eukaryota; Metazoa; Chordata; Actinopteri; Perciformes; Gasterosteidae
Source: Ensembl
CUUCUCCUUCUCCUUCUUCUUCUUCUCCUUCUUCUUCCUCCUCUUCUUCUUCUCCCCCGCGCGUCUCUCCCUGCGCCGAGCAGAGCGCGGCCUCCGCGUCCCCGGCUGAAUGGAGGGGGAGUUGUCCCCGUGCAUUACAAUGACAUUCGGGCCCCCAUUGAAUUCUGCCACUGUCUAACGGUCUUUGGACAGCAAAUGCACCCCCAUCGGGGGGUCGCAACCCCCUCGUUACACCCCCCCCACCCCCCCUCCCAUCCCAUCACGCAGCCCGCCACAAAAGCCCCAACAAAAGAGAGGAGAGUCGGCCCAGUUGUGCGAGUUGCGCCCCCUGGACUUUUUGAGUGCAGAGAGCCAGAAGGACCCUCCAGUAUUGUCCUGGGAGAGAAAGAGAAACACGUUGACAAAGGAAUCCAUUGUUCCUGGCGAACAAUUCAAGGGGCCUAGUAAGCUGUCCUCUACGAUCAGGCAGCCGGCCGCUGAUUUGAAUGCAAGGGGCCCCUCCAAGGAGAAAUGGUAAUAUAUGGCAAGAUAUAACCAACAGCAGCCCAUAUGCAACCGUGCACGUUGGCUGUACACACACACACACACACACACACACACAGGAAACAGAGAGCUGGGAGGAAAACUUUCUUUACUCUGGAUGUGUUUCACCUGCUCCCAGGAUUCGUCCCACUUGGUCCCCAGUAAAGAUAAAUUGGUCCACGUGUUUACAGGUGAGUUUCAUGGGAAUAAAACAUUGAUAUUUCCCCCGCGCAUGCUACCUGUUCUUAAUAAUAAUCUUAAUUUAUAUAUAUUCUUCUAUAACUAAAAUUGUUCCUGGGUUCCCACGGUCACGUUAGAAAAUAGGAUGAUAAAUAAUAAAGUUAAGGCGCAGCUAACACUUCUCCACAAAGUCACGGGUAGGAUGACUUUUAUUUUUAUUUUUAUAUCUAUUGUUUAAAAUUAGUUUUAAUCCACUGAUCCUUUUUUUUAUUCCAGUGUUUUCCAGUAAUUUAAUUUAAUUUAGUUUCGUUCUCAUCCCAGCUACUAACAAGCAAUAAAAGAUGAAUUAUUUUACACACACACACACACACAAACACACAAAUAAAUAUUCAUACAAACAUAUCCGCACAAAAGGAGACCAAAUGCAAAAGAGCAAAGGCGGCGAGUCAGAGCUGCAGAGGAAGAAUCCCAAAGAAGCGAAAUCCUGAAUGUCACUUGUCAUCAUAUCGCAGCGAGCAAAGCGGGCCAGCGUGUCAAGAGGCAGACUGUCACUGGUGUGUCUCUACACGCAUGACACACACACACACACUGUAAAAAACAAAAGCAUUAUUCCCCCAAAUCAUUUUGUACACACGGCUCAA